UUUAAUAAACCUAGAUUUAACAAGGAACAUGAAGUAAAAAAGACUAAAGAUAAUUCCGAUCAUUUUCGAAACUAGUAAAAAAAACUACAAAAAGCAAGCAAAAAAAAAAAGCGAAGCUCAAUCUCCAAUUAAAUAAAUGUUGAAUGAUGAAACUAAAAAAAAUAAGAUUAAAAAAACAAACUUGAACGAAUCUACUAAACCUAUAUAAUCUCUCAAACUCAC
This 222-nucleotide long non-coding RNA is filed under the name Populus trichocarpa (black cottonwood). RNAcentral's name for it is "long non-coding RNA (PTRI_LNC002566)". Lineage: Eukaryota; Viridiplantae; Streptophyta; Magnoliopsida; Malpighiales; Salicaceae. The record is from RNAcentral.